RNAcentral lists this ribosomal RNA (234 nucleotides) under Triticum aestivum (bread wheat). RNAcentral describes it as "partial small subunit ribosomal RNA". Lineage: Eukaryota; Viridiplantae; Streptophyta; Magnoliopsida; Poales; Poaceae. The record is from RNAcentral.
AUGGUAAACGAGAGGAUACCCCUGCCUUCCCGAUUCACAAUCCACUGCUUGAUCCACUUGGCUACAUCCGCCCCUUAUCCAGCUAAAGGAUUUUUGCUUUUUUCCAUUGAUCAUUAUUCUAUUUAUUCUGACCUCCGUACUUCGAUCGAGAUAUUGGACAUAGAAUGCCACUCUUUAAAAAGGAAAAAAGGAGUACUUGUAGUGAUUUCAGAAUUCGGCAACUUAGCCUACUAA